Molecule: ribosomal RNA, 825 nt
Filed under: Sphaerulina sp.
Lineage: Eukaryota; Fungi; Ascomycota; Dothideomycetes; Mycosphaerellales; Mycosphaerellaceae
Description: partial large subunit ribosomal RNA
Rfam family: Eukaryotic large subunit ribosomal RNA
Source: RNAcentral
GGGAUUGCCCUAGUAACGGCGAGUGAAGCGGCAACAGCUCAAAUUUGAAAUCUGGCGCAAGCCCGAGUUGUAAUUUGUAGAGGAUGCUUCUGGGUAGCGACCGGUCUAAGUUCCUUGGAACAGGACGUCAUAGAGGGUGAGAAUCCCGUAUGUGACCGGCCCGCACCCUUUACGUAGCUCCUUCGACGAGUCGAGUUGUUUGGGAAUGCAGCUCUAAAUGGGAGGUAAAUUUCUUCUAAAGCUAAAUACCGGCCAGAGACCGAUAGCGCACAAGUAGAGUGAUCGAAAGAUGAAAAGUACUUUGGAAAGAGAGUUAAAAAGCACGUGAAAUUGUUGAAAGGGAAGCGCCUGCAAUCAGACUUCGCGGCAGUGUUCCGCCGGCCUUCUGGCCGGUUCAUUCUCUGUCGCGAGGCCAUCAUCGUCUCGGCCCGCUGGAUAAGACCUUGGGAAUGUAGCUCACCUUCGGGGGAGUGUUAUAGCUUAUGGUGAUGCAGCGAGGCUGGGGCGAGGUCCGCGCUUCGGCAAGGAUGAUGGCGUAAUGGUUGUCGGCGGCCCGUCUUGAAACACGGACCAAGGAGUCUAACAUCUAUGCGAGUGUUCGGGUGUCAAACCCCUACGCGUAAUGAAAGUGAACGGAGGUGGGAACCGCAAGGUGCACCAUCGACCGAUCCUGAUGUCCUCGGAUGGAUUUGAGUAAGAGCAUAGCUGUUGGGACCCGAAAGAUGGUGAACUAUGCCUGAAUAGGGUGAAGCCAGAGGAAACUCUGGUGGAGGCUCGCAGCGGUUCUGACGUGCAAAUCGAUCGUCAAAUUUGGGUAUAGGGGCG